This 840-nucleotide ribosomal RNA is filed under the name Cadophora sp. Its description in RNAcentral is "partial large subunit ribosomal RNA". It matches the Rfam family "Eukaryotic large subunit ribosomal RNA", at positions 88 to 945 of the family's 3401-position model. The record is from RNAcentral. Lineage: Eukaryota; Fungi; Ascomycota; Leotiomycetes; Helotiales; Ploettnerulaceae.
GGCGAGUGAAGCGGUAACAGCUCAAAUUUGAAAGCUAGCUCUUUUAGGGUUCGCAUUGUAAUUUGUAGAAGAUGCUUCGGGUGUGGCCCCGGUCUAAGUUCCUUGGAACAGGACGUCAUAGAGGGUGAGAAUCCCGUAUGUGACUGGGUGCUUUCGCUCAUGUGAAGCUCUUUCGACGAGUCGAGUUGUUUGGGAAUGCAGCUCAAAAUGGGUGGUAAAUUUCAUCUAAAGCUAAAUAUUGGCCAGAGACCGAUAGCGCACAAGUAGAGUGAUCGAAAGAUGAAAAGCACUUUGGAAAGAGAGUUAAACAGUACGUGAAAUUGUUGAAAGGGAAGCGCUUGCAACCAGACUUGCGCGCUGAUGAUCAUCCGGGCUUCUGCCCGGUGCACUCGUCUGCGCUCAGGCCAGCAUCGGUUUCGGUGGUGGGAUAAAGGCCUUGGGAAUGUAGCUUCUUUCGGGGAGUGUUAUAGCCCUCGGUGCAAUGCCGCCUACCGGGACCGAGGACCGCGCUUCGGCUAGGAUGCUGGCGUAAUGGUUGUAAGCGACCCGUCUUGAAACACGGACCAAGGAGUCUAACAUCUAUGCGAGUGUUUGGGUGUCAAACCCAUACGCGUAAUGAAAGUGAACGGAGGUGAGAACCCUUAAGGGUGCAUCAUCGACCGAUCCUGAUGUCUUCGGAUGGAUUUGAGUAAGAGCAUAGCUGUUGGGACCCGAAAGAUGGUGAACUAUGCGUGAAUAGGGUGAAGCCAGAGGAAACUCUGGUGGAGGCUCGCAGCGGUUCUGACGUGCAAAUCGAUCGUCAAAUUUGCGUAUAGGGGCGAAAGACUAAUCGAACCAUCU